RNAcentral lists this transfer RNA (71 nucleotides) under Hyphessobrycon pulchripinnis. Its description in RNAcentral is "tRNA-Tyr". It matches the Rfam family "tRNA". From Rfam's summary of the family: Transfer RNA (tRNA) molecules are approximately 80 nucleotides in length. Their secondary structure includes four short double-helical elements and three loops (D, anti-codon, and T loops). The record is from RNAcentral. Lineage: Eukaryota; Metazoa; Chordata; Actinopteri; Characiformes; Acestrorhamphidae.
GGUAGGAUGGCCGAGUGCUCAGGCGGUGGGUUGUAGCUCCAUGGACAAAGGUUUAAUUCCUUUUCCUGCCA